RNAcentral lists this unclassified non-coding RNA (330 nucleotides) under soil metagenome. RNAcentral describes it as "partial contains 5.8S ribosomal RNA, internal transcribed spacer 2, and large subunit ribosomal RNA". The stretch from base 1 to 120 matches the Rfam family "5.8S ribosomal RNA", at positions 35 to 154 of the family's 154-position model. The record is from RNAcentral.
GAUGAAGAACUCAGCGAAAUGCGAUAAGUAAUGUGAAUUGCAGAAUUCAGUGAAUCAUCGAAUCUUUGAACGCACAUUGCGCCCCCUGGUAUUCCGGGGGGCAUGCCUGUUCGAGCGUCAUUUCACCACUCAAGCCUCGCUUGGUAUUGGGCAACGCGGUCCGCCGCGUGCCUCAAAUCGACCGGCUGGGUCUUCUGUCCCCUAAGCGUUGUGGAAACUUUCGCUAAAGGGUGUUCGGGAGGCUACGCCGUAAAACAACCCCAUUUCUAAGGUUGACCUCGGAUCAGGUAGGGAUACCCGCUGAACUUAAGCAUAUCAAUAAGCGGAGGA